CUGAAGGGCGGUCAGAGCGGACGGACGGGGACGGCUGCCCACCACACUUGCGGGCCUUUGCCAGUGCUGGCUCCCCUUCCUUCACCCGCGGCCUCCGCCACAUCUCCAACCUUCUAGCUCCCGUCCCGAGAUCUCAGGUGUCAGUCGCUGGGAAGAUGUGACUAAUCCCCCCACCCAACACCCGGCCCGUCUCCGCCCUGGAGCGGCCACUCAUCCCAGCUGCCAACGACGUGUUCCUGUGCGUGUGAGCAGCCGCGGGGGUUGGCAUCUGCUCUGUGACGACGAGCUCUCCGAGGUGGGCUGUCUGCUCUGCCCACCGCCUCGCCACCGGUGCCCGUGCAGGAGACUCACACAGGAGUGUUUGUUGGUUGACUACACAAGAGGAUGCCCUAAACGGCACGUGUUCAUUCUGCCAAGUGGCUGAGAGAACCGAGCCUACGCGACCCGAAAUGUUAUGACAUCACGGCCACAUGAAGAGACAAUCAGGGUAUCCGGUUGAAAUGUAGAAAAAAGAGAAUUAUCGGGGCACCUGGGGGGCUCAGGCGGUUAAGC
Prionailurus viverrinus (fishing cat) is the source of this 552-nucleotide long non-coding RNA. RefSeq lists it as uncharacterized. NCBI's taxonomy places the organism in Eukaryota, Metazoa, Chordata, Mammalia, Carnivora, Felidae. The transcript has 3 exons. The record is from RefSeq and is a predicted model, not a curated record.